AAGCCCAAGUUAAGUCACAGCAGGUGUACAGCUUAAUGAACUGCACUUGGGCAGCAGGUGAGCAUAAAUGGAGAGCACAGAGGGCAGGUUUUGGAAUGCUUCUGCAAGGGAAGAGCUGCAAUAAAUGUAUGAUGGAUGUAUGAGGGCAGAGACAGAUGGAAACUGAAGAUACCCUUAGACCUGAUGCAAGUACAGAUGUGAAUGGGGGGUGUAUUGAUACCUGUGUAUCUGUAAACAUUGUGCACACUGUGCUCCUUUCAGGUAAUUCCCAAGAAUGGUGUGAAGAAAAUCAAGUGGCAGUUCAACCGUGCUUAAAGAACAACUUCAAGCUUUUCAGGUAGCCUGCCACAGAGAGAAAACAGGAGACAGACAUACUGUAUGAACAAACCAAUUGCACAAAGCAACCUGAACACAGCAGAGACUGGGGAGCUUCAAAGAUCCAUGCUGGGAAUUGCAGGUUACCUGGAACCUGGUGAAAAUGCUGCAGCAGCCUGACAGGGACACCUUUGCUGGUGUAUAUUGUCCUUCGUCAGGUCAAAGGGAUUCAGGAGAUAUCAUGGAUGUACCGGGAGCCAUUUGGCUGUUUCUGCUCCAGUGGCUUGGCAGGUAGCUCCUCAGAGGACAAACCCACGGAGAGGGGCUGCCUGGUGCUUUUGGUUCCUUUUCUAAACCAUACCAUGCCCUGCUUACAGUUUCCAUGUACUCACAUUGAAUAAUAUGAAGGAUGUAUCCCAUCGUCAGCUUGUAGGAGAAAUCAUAUUUGGAAAACAUGGGUGAUAACUCCCUUAACAGAUUCUCUGCUAGUCACCAGGUUCAUUUGGGAAACAAGAGCAUGGAAAUCUUGCCCAGGAAUAUCUACUGUUGCUUGGCUUGUCCGGCAGAAUGCACCCAGUCAGAGGCACAGACGUAUCCUACUUUCUGUGGAACGGGAGCCAGACCUGGAAGGCCACACAGAAGUCCAGUCCUCUGAGGGAGCUUGUCACAAAUGACCCCUAAUGUCCAGUGGGGAAAAACAGUGCAGAGUUUGUAUGAGUAUGAAUCAAAAUACUUUCCCACUGUGCCCACAGCAAAGGUUGCUAAAUUUAUCAUGACUUAUCUUCCCAGAUCUGUCAGUAUGGCAAUAGUGCGGUUCACAACAUCUGGACAUAUCUGCCUGGUGAUUUGGGAACAAAGAGCUGCUCCACCACUGCAUCACUGACCUCAGCAUCAGCCUAAAAGAGAUUUUGGCACAGUGUGUACCAUGCUGUCUGUCCCCUGUAUGGUGAGAGGACUCCUCUGAGGACCACCAGCAUCUGGGACAUGUGGCAGGAGUUUGAGCUUCAACCCAUUCUUGCUGCCUUCAGUGAUUCAGUAACUGAGAACUGAUUGAACUCAACUGUGCAUGCAGGAGGGGCAGGUGUUGGUACCUUGCUCAUCAAAUCCAUGCCAACUGAAUCAAAAGAACCAUCAAUGAGACCUUGUGAUGUACCUUUCUAGCCUCACUGUCAUCUUGCUGCCAAAUUCCAACCUCCUGCUCCAAACCUUCACAGUGAUCGCUAGCUGGUGGGGAAAGCUGCCUCCGCUGCUCGCUUUUGUUCUGGAAAAAACCCAGCCUCUUAGGGAUAUUUCCUAGUCAACCUCAGGCAGAGGAAGCGGCAUGGAAGUUUUCAGCCCUUAAAAGUUAAAGGUCUGACAGAGUUACAAGCAACUGGGAAUGGUGCGUAUGAUGGAAAGUUUUAGUCUGGUGUAACAAUGGAUGGAGCAGUAGCAAUACCUAUAAUUAUAGUUGUAAGUGACAAAACAGAAAGGAAAACUACAUUCCAAGUGAUUUAAAACCAAGUGAUUGUUUUAAACCUGGGCCAGAUUGUCCCCUCCCACAUUAAUACACCCAGGAGGGGAUUUCUGCUUGGAAACAGCUACAUGGGGGGAUCCACAGACCUCUCCUGGACUGACUCAUCCCAGAGGCACAAUCUCUCUUUUUGCUUCCCAAAAGGAGUAAAUUUUCCCUUCCAGGUGGGCAUGCAGAUGUAUGAGCUAAAUUGUUUUAGGUCGUGCCCCAAGUUCUUUCUGAUCCAACCCUUUCCUUCACUCCUCCUCCCAGUUAUCCUGUUUUCUUCGGAGACACCCUUGUAGCAUGUUGGUUUGUUGGGAACAGUCUCCAGAAUGGAAAAGGGAGAGAGAUGGAAACUACACAGCCUCCAGCCCUUGGGGCUGAUCCCACCUCCCAGCACAGGUUAUACAAAGAGGGAAAGGGGCAGCAGAGAUGGGUGUAAAAAGCAGGUCUGGCUUUAAUGCAGGGAAACACCUGUAUAGCGUGAAAAAUACUGAUACCUGGCUGCUGGUUUGCUGUCUUCUUAAAAUAUUACAACUGCUGUUCUGAGGUAGCGAGGAAAGUAAAUA
Cygnus olor (mute swan) is the source of this 2379-nucleotide long non-coding RNA. RefSeq lists it as uncharacterized. Lineage: Eukaryota; Metazoa; Chordata; Aves; Anseriformes; Anatidae. The transcript is spliced from 4 exons. The record is from RefSeq and is a predicted model, not a curated record.